AUGUCAGACAGUACUGAGGCAGGCAGCGUUUGAUAAAGUGACUUGGCAUUGAGCUUGUUUCUGUAAUGCUGACUGACGGGCCAAACUUGACGUUGACAUUUUUGUUUACCAUCCUUUCUACCAAUGGGGCACACCCUGCCAUGCAGCUUGUCACCAAUGACGUGAAAUUAUUUCAUUUCUUAUUGAGGGAAGUAACCAGGCAGAUGUUUAUUGUGUGAUGCAAAAUGUAACCUUGAGCCUUAACUAUGAGGGAUUCGUGAAGUCGUACGUUUAUUUCCAUCCCCUUAUUUCAUGUAUGCACUUUGUGUUUGAGUCCCAGCCUGUCUGCUUUGGGCAAUGAAUUAACCUACUCUGAGGAACACUUUCACCCUGAAUAUCAUUUUAUUCUUUAUUCAUUAUUAUGAGUUUUAUUUCUGAUUAUGAUCUUAUUCAUUCUGUUUAAUUUGUAAAAAUGAAAUAACCUGUACUAGAGUCUGCAUUACAAGACUUCAUUAGGAGUAACAAAAGUAUAAGGAAGCUGAAGGUUUGUCUUUUUUUAAAGGUCAGAAAACUCCUUCUGAUCAUAUAAGUAUCACAUGCUGUACAUACAUUGAUUAACAGUUUAGUCAUUUAAACUUGUUUGUUUCUUUACUUCAUUAAGAAAAUAAAGUUGUUCCCUAUAAAAAAGUUUAUUUUC
Labrus mixtus (cuckoo wrasse) is the source of this 676-nucleotide long non-coding RNA. RefSeq lists it as uncharacterized. The record is from RefSeq and is a predicted model, not a curated record. The transcript is spliced from 2 exons. NCBI's taxonomy places the organism in Eukaryota, Metazoa, Chordata, Actinopteri, Labriformes, Labridae.